AAGGAAUAUUGGACAAUGGGCGGAAGCCUGAUCCAGCCAUGCCGCGUGAAGGAAGGAGGCGCUCAGCGUUGUAAACUUCUUUUAAACGGGAACAAUAACUCCGACGCGCUCGGGGCUUGAGGGUACCAUUAGAAUAAGCACGGGCUAACUCCGUGCCAGCAGCCGCGGUAAUACGGAGGGUGCAAGCGUUAUCCGGAAUCACUGGGUUUAAAGGGUGCGUAGGCUGUUUGAUAAGUCAGUUGUGAAAUACCCCGGCUUAACCGGCGGUCGUGCGAUUGAUACUGUCAGACUUGAAUCAGGUUGAGGUAGGCGGAAUGUGGCAUGUGGCGGUGAAAUGCAUAGAUAUGCCAUAGAACACCGAUUGCGAAGGCAGCUUACUAAAGUAUGAUUGACGCUGAGGCACGAAAGCGUGGGGAUCAAAC
Molecule: ribosomal RNA, 422 nt
Filed under: uncultured bacterium
Lineage: Bacteria
Description: bacterial SSU rRNA
Rfam family: Bacterial small subunit ribosomal RNA
Source: RNAcentral